UACGUAGGGGGCAAGCGUUGUCCGGAAUUAUUGGGCGUAAAGAGCGCGUAGGCGGUCCGAUAAGUCGACUGUGAAAGUCUAGGGCUCAACCCUGGAAAGCCGGUCGAUACUGUCGGACUAGAGUCCGGAAGAGGCGAGUGGAAUUCCCGGUGUAGCGGUGAAAUGCGCAGAUAUCGGGAGGAACACCAAUGGCGAAGGCAGCUCGCUGGGACGGUACUGACGCUGAGACGCGAAAGCGUGGGGAGCAAACAGG
Molecule: ribosomal RNA, 253 nt
Filed under: uncultured bacterium
Lineage: Bacteria
Description: partial 16S ribosomal RNA
Rfam family: Bacterial small subunit ribosomal RNA
Source: RNAcentral